RNAcentral lists this ribosomal RNA (460 nucleotides) under uncultured bacterium. RNAcentral's name for it is "partial 16S ribosomal RNA". It matches the Rfam family "Bacterial small subunit ribosomal RNA", at positions 338 to 795 of the family's 1533-position model. The record is from RNAcentral.
CCUACGGGAGGCAGCAGUGAGGAAUAUUGGUCAAUGGGCGGAAGCCUGUACCAGCCAAGUAGCGUGCAGGAUGACGGCCCUACGGGUUGUAAACUGCUUUUAUACGGGAAUAACGCGCCUUACGUGUAGGGCUUUGCAUGUACCGUAUGAAUAAGGACCGGCUAAUUCCGUGCCAGCAGCCGCGGUAAUACGGAAGGUCCGGGCGUUAUCCGGAUUUAUUGGGUUUAAAGGGAGCGUAGGCCGCAUGUCAAGCGUGCUGUGAAAUGUCCGGGCUCAACCCGGGCCUUGCAGCGCGAACUGGCGUGCUUGAGUCCGCGGAAAGCAGGCGGAAUUCGUCGUGUAGCGGUGAAAUGCUUAGAUAUGACGAAGAACCCCGAUUGCGAAGGCAGCUUGCUGCAGCGGAACUGACGCUGAUGCUCGAAAGCGCGGGUAUCGAACAGGAUUAGAUACCCGGGUAGUC